CUCUAGGUAGCUAAAAUGUUAGUCUUGGUCUCUUAAACCACCCAAUAGUAUAGUAACGCAUACUCCUAGAGA
This 72-nucleotide transfer RNA is filed under the name Ellipes minuta. Its description in RNAcentral is "tRNA-Lys". The record is from RNAcentral. Lineage: Eukaryota; Metazoa; Arthropoda; Insecta; Orthoptera; Tridactylidae.